Molecule: ribosomal RNA, 458 nt
Filed under: uncultured bacterium
Lineage: Bacteria
Description: partial 16S ribosomal RNA
Rfam family: Bacterial small subunit ribosomal RNA
Source: RNAcentral
GAUGAACGCUGGCGGCGUGCCUAAUACAUGCAAGUCGAGCGGUAGGGCCACUUCGGUGGUACACGAGCGGCGGACGGCUGAGUAACACGUAGGAACGUACCCCAAACUGAGGGAUAAGCACCGGAAACGGUGUCUAAUACCGCAUGUGCUCUUCGGAGUAAAGCUACGGCGGUUUGGGAACGGCCUGCGCAUGAUUAGCUAGUUGGUGAGGUAAUGGCUCACCAAGGCGACGAUCAUUAGCUGGUCUGAGAGGAUGAUCAGCCAGACUGGGACUGAGAACGGCCCAGACUCCUACGGGGGGCAGCAGUAGGGAAUUUUCCACAAUGGGGGCAACCCUGAUGGAGCAACGCCGCGUGCAGGAUGAAGGCUUUCGGGUCGUAAACUGCUUUUAUCUGUGAAGAUUAUGACGGUAGCAGAUGAAUAAGGAUCGGCUAACUCCGUGCCAGCCGCCGCAGUAA